UGAGGAUCGCAGCACCAGACAAGUUGAGAACCAGUGCUUUAGAAACUCCACACAGUUAAGCAGUGUGUCUGCUUACUGUCUGUUAUAUAACUUUAGACCCAAGGACAAUGCUUGACAGAGUCAGUAUUCAAAAAUCUGUCCAAGGUGCCUUUGUUUGGUGCUCUCUGACGAGGAGUGUUUGAGCAAUAUAUGCACAAGGUUGCCCUUUGGAGAUCUCAUCCAGGUUCAUCGUGAAGAUUUGAGAUCAUCCACUGGGAGGUCUAUGAUGUCGCUGAAGCAAAGACUAUCAUACUGUAGAAGUAAUAUGACCUUGGCUUUGGUAAUGGUCUGAAAUUAUAGCCUGGUUCUCUAGAUGCCAUCCAUGUGCUCUCCCUGCAAUUAUAGGAACACUCUUUCAAUAAAUAUUAUAUAUAUAUAUACAUAUAUAUGCAAUACACUAUUUUAAAACUAUAAUAUAAUAUACUUCAUUUUUUUCGGCAUCUGUCCUCUCAUCUUUAUGUUAGCCUAGCAGUUACCCUGAAUGAGUUCUUUGAGGAGCCCUUGUUUUCUGGGGCUUGCAACAUGCCAACUUUUACCCAUUUGCUGAGUAGGUGCCAAAGAGGGCGUCAUUUUUAAUUUUAUUUCUCCCCUCAGUAUAGAUUUAGAGCUAUGGGAGAUAGAGAAUAAUCAUCAGAAGGAAAGCUCCACAUAAAACAUAGACGGGGCAGUGAGAGAUGGCAAGAGUGAAGAUCUUGAUUUACACGCAGGACUUCUGCCAGUGUGUGUUAGAAGAAAUUGCUGCGGUUUCUUCUAACAGCCGCCAAAACUUGAAUUGGAGAUGCUAGAGAGGAAGAUGUAGAAAAUGGGCAAAAUAUCAGCCUGAUACCAUGAGGAUGAAUGAGAGAGAGCUUACCCUUGCCUCUCCACAACCACGGCAGCUUGGUGGUUUUGGACCCAGUCUGAAAAUGUAGAAACUGAGCUGAGACUUAUUUC
Molecule: long non-coding RNA, 972 nt
Filed under: Mus spicilegus (steppe mouse)
Lineage: Eukaryota; Metazoa; Chordata; Mammalia; Rodentia; Muridae
Description: lncRNA (ENSMSIG00000026944.1)
Source: RNAcentral